Molecule: ribosomal RNA, 406 nt
Filed under: uncultured bacterium
Lineage: Bacteria
Description: partial 16S ribosomal RNA
Rfam family: Bacterial small subunit ribosomal RNA
Source: RNAcentral
AUUGAACGCUGGCGGCAGGCCUAACACAUGCAAGUAGAGCGAGCGGCGGACGGGUGAGUCAUGUCUGGGAAACUGCCAGAUGGCGGGGGAUAACUACUGGAAACGGUAGCUAAUACCGCAUACCAUCAGAUGUGCCCAGCUGGGAAUAGGUAGUAGGUGCGGUAAUGGCUCACCUAGGCGACGAUCCCUAGCUGGACUGAGAGGCUGACCGGCCACACUGGAACUGAGACACAGUCCAGACUCCUAGGGAAGGGAGAAGUGGGGAAUUGUGCACAAUGGGCGAAAGCCUGAUGCAGCCAUGCGGCGAGUGGGAAGAAGGCCUUCGGGUUGUAAAGCACUUUCAGCGGGGAGGCGUUACCCGGAGAAGAAGCACCGGCUAACUCCGUGCCAGCAGCCGCGGUAAUAC